Molecule: ribosomal RNA, 470 nt
Filed under: uncultured bacterium
Lineage: Bacteria
Description: bacterial SSU rRNA
Rfam family: Bacterial small subunit ribosomal RNA
Source: RNAcentral
UCGUUUAGAUUGAAGGAGCUUGCUCCUGAUUGAUAAACAUUGAGUGAGUGGCGGACGGGUGAGUAACACGUGGGUAACCUACCUAAGUGGGGAUAACAUUUGGAAACAGAUGCUAAUACCGCAUAAAACCUAACACCGCAUGGUGUAGGGUUGAAAGAUGGUUUCGGCUAUCACUUUAGGAUGGACCCGCGGUGCAUUAGUUAGUUGGUGAGGUAAAGGCUCACCAAGACCGUGAUGCAUAGCCGACCUGAGAGGGUAAUCGGCCACACUGGGACUGAGACACGGCCCAGACUCCUACGGGAGGCAGCAGUAGGGAAUCUUCCACAAUGGACGAAAGUCUGAUGGAGCAACGCCGCGUGAGUGAAGAAGGUUUUCGGAUCGUAAAACUCUGUUGUUGGAGAAGAAUGUAUCUGAUAGUAACUGAUCAGGUAGUGACGGUAUCCAACCAGAAAGCCACGGCUAACUACGUG